AGUGUAGGCGGCUUCGUAAGUCGGAUGUGAAAGCCCCGGGCUUAACCUGGGAAUUGCAUUCGAUACUGCGCGGCUAGAGUCUGAUAGAGGGAAGUGGAAUUCCAGGUGUAGCGGUGAGAUGCGUAGAUAUCUGGAGGAACACCAGUGGCGAAGGCGGCUUCCUGGAUCAAGACUGACGCUGAGGCUCGAAAGCGUGGGGAGCAAACA
RNAcentral lists this ribosomal RNA (207 nucleotides) under uncultured bacterium. RNAcentral describes it as "partial 16S ribosomal RNA". It matches the Rfam family "Bacterial small subunit ribosomal RNA", at positions 568 to 774 of the family's 1533-position model. The record is from RNAcentral.